Non-coding RNA from Potamilus streckersoni, 74 nucleotides. The record is from the annotation of a GenBank genome assembly. NCBI's taxonomy places the organism in Eukaryota, Metazoa, Mollusca, Bivalvia, Unionida, Unionidae.
AACUCCGAUGGCCUAGUGGUUAGAGCAUCUGCCUCGGAUGCUGGAGGUCGCAGGUUCGAUCCCAGGAUGAGUCA